UAGUACGAGAGGACCGGAGUGGACAGACCUCUAGUGUGCCAGUUGUCCCGCCAGGGGCAUCGCUGGGUAGCUACGUCUGGCAGAGAUAACCGCUGAAAGCAUCUAAGCGGGAAACUCGCCCCAAGAUGAGGUCCCCCAUCCCGUUAAGGGAGUAAGACCGCCGGAAGACUACCGGUUUGAUAGGCGGGAGGUGUAAGCGCAGCAAUGCGUUCAGCCAACCCGUACUAACGGUCGAGGGCUUAACG
Molecule: ribosomal RNA, 245 nt
Filed under: Chloroflexota bacterium
Lineage: Bacteria; Bacillati; Chloroflexota
Description: Chloroflexi bacterium partial 23S ribosomal RNA
Rfam family: Bacterial large subunit ribosomal RNA
Source: RNAcentral